This is a long non-coding RNA of Hippocampus comes (tiger tail seahorse), 1161 nucleotides long. RefSeq lists it as uncharacterized. The record is from RefSeq and is a predicted model, not a curated record. The transcript has 2 exons. Lineage: Eukaryota; Metazoa; Chordata; Actinopteri; Syngnathiformes; Syngnathidae.
GGAACAUCAUCAUUAUAUGAGUGAAAUUAAAAAAAAACAACAAUAAAGAAAUGAUCAUUUAUUGUGAAACUUUCUGGGUAAAUAAUAUCUGGAAAAAAUAAUUGUGACAGCCCUACCAAUAAAUAAUUUUAAUACAGUACACUGACUAAAAUCAAAUACCUAUUAUGAAGCCGGUGGUUGCCACUGACCGUUUCCAUGUUUUGACGUAUUUUGAAGGACGAGCAUAGACAGAAACAAUAAAUGAAAAAUAUCACUCACCAUUAGCUACACAUCGAGCCUGGUCAGGUGUCAUCUUCAAACCAGUGUUACGACAUAAUGGUACAGUGCCAUAAAGUGUCUUCGUGUUUGUGCGCGCUUUCCUAAAACUUUGAUGAUGAAAAAAAGUUCUCUUUAACACAUAGUUAUUGUCUGUGUGUUAUUGGAUGCCAUGAUCUGGCGGCAAAAUGUUACUUUGCACUGCCCUUGUUGUUCUCUUCUGUGGUCCCACUACUGCUGGGAUGAAUGUCUUACAUCUAACUAUGAUCAAAUUGUCCGAAGCAGGCGCCAGAGGCUAACCUCAAUUCACGUUGUCCCGUCAAGCGCAUGCCGGUCACAUUUUUUUUCUUCCGUCAUCACAACAUCCUGUUUCUGCCCAGUUUUUUCGGUGAUCAGACUUUCGGUUGAAAGCAGAAAAAUGUACUUUGGGGCCAUUUUUGACAGCUGUGACUUGCAAUUUGAACUGGCUCUGUCGAGCCAGCAUUUGAAGGUGGGUAAUGGCCCAACACAGUUGUGCACUGACCAGGGACCAUCAGGCCACCGUUAAUGUGGAACCCUGAAUCUCUUGUUUUUAUCCUCGCAAUGGCGAGGGACUGUUGAUCAUCUGUUCGACAUUUGGGUCUCAGUUCAAAUUACCUUCCCCUGUAAGCUUAUGUUGAAUUUCGGAAUAUCCCAAAAUUUCACCCGAAAGCCCAAUAUCCUUCACUUUUUCCGGGUCGAAUAGGUCAACACUGGGUUGCCAAUCCCCUCUAAAAUAUGCUGAUUUCAAUGUAAAAAAAAAACAAAAAAAAAAAACAAAACAUUAUGCUAUGCAGCUUGUUGGAAAGUAGUGUUGGCUUACUUUUACUGUAGCUUUUCUUUCAAGAUGAAAAGAACACAAACAGGAGAUUCACUGUUAGCCCUGAU